This 252-nucleotide long non-coding RNA is filed under the name Trifolium pratense (red clover). RNAcentral describes it as "long non-coding RNA (TPRA_LNC003383)". Lineage: Eukaryota; Viridiplantae; Streptophyta; Magnoliopsida; Fabales; Fabaceae. The record is from RNAcentral.
UUAUUUUCAAUAGUCAUCUGGAGGGUAAUAACGCCACAAAGGAAGAACAUGUAUUAUCACACACCAGGAAAUUGUAGAAUUGAUUUGUUCUGACGCAAAAGCUCCACUUUGUUGCUUCACAAAGAAUCGAUUUUGAGCAUCAAAAGUGCUUCGCUUUUUCCAAUCCAAACAACUGUACAAAAGAGUAGAAUCACAUUUAACACUUUAAACGUGAGUCCAAGGCUGAAAAACGCUCAUCCAAACAAGCACUAA